GACGAACGCUGGCGGCGUGCUUAACACAUGCAAGUCGAACGGUGAAGCGCCUUCCUUUUUGGUGGGUGUGGAUGAGUGGCGAACGGGUGAGUAACACGUGAGUAACCUGCCCCCUUCUUCUGGAUAACCGCAUGAAAGUGUGGCUAAUACGGGAUAUUCUGGUUCUGUCGCAUGAUGGGUCUGGGAAAGAUGUUGUUUCGGUGGGGGAUGGGCUCGCGGCCUAUCAGCUUGUUGGUGGGGUGAUGGCCUACCAAGGCGGUGACGGGUAGCCGGCCUGAGAGGGUGGACGGUCACACUGGGACUGAGACAAGGCCGAGACUCCUACGGGAGGCAGCAGUGGGGAAUAUGGAACAAUGGGCGCAAGCCUGAUGCAGCGACGCCGCGUGAGGGAUGGAGGCCUUCGGGUUGUGAACCUCUUUCGCCAGUGAAGCAGGCCUGCCUCGUUUGUGGGUGGGUUGACGGUAGCUGGAUAAGAAGCGCCGGCUAACUACGUG
This 494-nucleotide ribosomal RNA is filed under the name uncultured bacterium. RNAcentral's name for it is "partial 16S ribosomal RNA". It matches the Rfam family "Bacterial small subunit ribosomal RNA", at positions 28 to 507 of the family's 1533-position model. The record is from RNAcentral.